RNAcentral lists this ribosomal RNA (253 nucleotides) under uncultured bacterium. RNAcentral's name for it is "partial 16S ribosomal RNA". It matches the Rfam family "Bacterial small subunit ribosomal RNA", at positions 524 to 776 of the family's 1533-position model. The record is from RNAcentral.
UACAGAGGGGGCAAGCGUUAUUCGGAAUUAUUGGGCGUAAAGGGCGCGUAGGCGGCUUUGCAAGUGGCGGGUGAAAUCCCUCGGCUUAACCGAGGAACUGCCUGUCAAACUGCAUGGCUUGAGACCAGGAGAGGUGAGUGGAAUUCCCAGUGUAGCGGUGAAAUGCGUAGAUAUUGGGAGGAACACCAAUUGCGAAGGCAGCUCGCUGGAACGUAACUGACGCUGAGACGCGAAAGCGUGGGGAGCAAACAGG